AACGAACGCUGGCGGCAUGCCUAACACAUGCAAGUCGAACGAGACCUUCGGGUCUAGUGGCGCACGGGUGCGUAACGCGUGGGAACCUGCCCUUAGGUUCGGAAUAACUCUCCGAAAGGGGUGCUAAUACCGGAUAAUGUCUUCGGCCCAAAGAUUUAUCGCCCUUGGAUGGGCCCGCGUUGGAUUAGCUAGUUGGUAGGGUAAAAGCCUACCAAGGCGACGAUCCAUAGCUGGUCUGAGAGGAUGAUCAGCCACACUGGGACUGAGACACGGCCCAGACUCCUACGGGAGGCAGCAGUGGGGAAUAUUGGACAAUGGGCGAAAGCCUGAUCCAGCAAUGCCGCGUGAGUGAUGAAGGCCUUAGGGUUGUAAAGCUCUUUUACCCGGGAUGAUAAUGACAGUACCGGGAGAAUAAGCUCCGGCUAACUCCGUG
RNAcentral lists this ribosomal RNA (433 nucleotides) under uncultured bacterium. RNAcentral describes it as "partial 16S ribosomal RNA". It matches the Rfam family "Bacterial small subunit ribosomal RNA", at positions 29 to 507 of the family's 1533-position model. The record is from RNAcentral.